This 63-nucleotide transfer RNA is filed under the name Himalopsyche eos. RNAcentral describes it as "tRNA-Thr". Lineage: Eukaryota; Metazoa; Arthropoda; Insecta; Trichoptera; Rhyacophilidae. The record is from RNAcentral.
GUUUUAAUAGUUUAACAAAAACAUUGGUCUUGUAAAUCAAAAUUAAAUUAUAUUUUUAAAACU